This is a long non-coding RNA of Capsicum annuum, 788 nucleotides long. RefSeq lists it as uncharacterized. The transcript is spliced from 3 exons. The record is from RefSeq and is a predicted model, not a curated record. Lineage: Eukaryota; Viridiplantae; Streptophyta; Magnoliopsida; Solanales; Solanaceae.
GGUUCGGACUCUCAGGUUACCGAUCGCACUUAGACAUCUCAGUGCAUCAGCAACAAUAACAGUGGAAGGUAAAUAAGUUCGCCGAAUCAGAUCCUUCCCACCUUACGGGCGUGGCAACUGAAGAUCUCGAAGAUAAAUCAAAGUCACAUGAAAGUUAUUAUCCUAAGAAAGAUGCAGUCAUUCCAAAAGAUGGACCAACAAGACAUAUUGCUGCACAGACAUUCACAUUUCGUGAGCUUGCUGCUGCAAUGAAGAAUUUUAGGUGGGUUUGGAUGUGUUUACAAAGGUCGGCUGGAAAGCACCGGACAGGUAGAGAGCAGACAUUCACAUUUCGUGAGCUUGCUGCUGCAACGAUGAAUUUUAGGCCAGCGUGUUUGCUUGGUGAAGGUGGGUUUGGAUGUAUUUACAAAGGUCGGCUGGAAAGCACCGGACAGGUAGGUGUUACUAUGGGAGGGGAACAUUUCCUUUGGUUGAAAAGGUUGUUUUUGCUGUGGUGAAAACAUAAUGCAAGUUAAUGAAAUAAACAUAAAAGUUUUAUUUGGCAUCUUCCUGCUAUAGUAACAGGCAUUAUCAUGACAAUGGCUGGCACCAGCAUAGAAUUUACCAUUGUUACUGUAUUCAACAAUUAUUUGUUGCAUAUAUUUGUUCCUAUCGACAUUGCCCUCACAUUGAAGGGUAUUGUAUUUCUGAAGUUAUUUGAACUGAAUCAUCCUAUACACAGUGAAUUUCAUGAUCUUUUCACUGUUGUGUGGUUAGUAGGUGGUCUUGUUGGAUCAAUCGAUGAACUA